RNAcentral lists this ribosomal RNA (2850 nucleotides) under Pseudomonas aeruginosa. RNAcentral's name for it is "partial 23S ribosomal RNA". It matches the Rfam family "Bacterial large subunit ribosomal RNA". Lineage: Bacteria; Pseudomonadati; Pseudomonadota; Gammaproteobacteria; Pseudomonadales; Pseudomonadaceae. The record is from RNAcentral.
GGUCAAGUGAAGAAGCGCAUACGGUGGAUGCCUUGGCAGUCAGAGGCGAUGAAAGACGUGGUAGCCUGCGAAAAGCUUCGGGGAGUCGGCAAACAGACUUUGAUCCGGAGAUCUCUGAAUGGGGGAACCCACCUAGGAUAACCUAGGUAUCUUGUACUGAAUCCAUAGGUGCAAGAGGCGAACCAGGGGAACUGAAACAUCUAAGUACCCUGAGGAAAAGAAAUCAACCGAGAUUCCCUUAGUAGUGGCGAGCGAACGGGGAUUAGCCCUUAAGCUUCAUUGAUUUUAGCGGAACGCUCUGGAAAGUGCGGCCAUAGUGGGUGAUAGCCCCGUACGCGAAAGGAUCUUUGAAGUGAAAUCGAGUAGGACGGAGCACGAGAAACUUUGUCUGAACAUGGGGGGACCAUCCUCCAAGGCUAAAUACUACUGACUGACCGAUAGUGAACCAGUACCGUGAGGGAAAGGCGAAAAGAACCCCGGAGAGGGGAGUGAAAUAGAACCUGAAACCGUAUGCGUACAAGCAGUGGGAGCCUACUUGUUAGGUGACUGCGUACCUUUUGUAUAAUGGGUCAGCGACUUAUAUUCAGUGGCAAGCUUAACCGUAUAGGGUAGGCGUAGCGAAAGCGAGUCUUAAUAGGGCGUUUAGUCGCUGGGUAUAGACCCGAAACCGGGCGAUCUAUCCAUGAGCAGGUUGAAGGUUAGGUAACACUGACUGGAGGACCGAACCCACUCCCGUUGAAAAGGUAGGGGAUGACUUGUGGAUCGGAGUGAAAGGCUAAUCAAGCUCGGAGAUAGCUGGUUCUCCUCGAAAGCUAUUUAGGUAGCGCCUCAUGUAUCACUCUGGGGGGUAGAGCACUGUUUCGGCUAGGGGGUCAUCCCGACUUACCAAACCGAUGCAAACUCCGAAUACCCAGAAGUGCCGAGCAUGGGAGACACACGGCGGGUGCUAACGUCCGUCGUGAAAAGGGAAACAACCCAGACCGCCAGCUAAGGUCCCAAAGUUGUGGUUAAGUGGUAAACGAUGUGGGAAGGCUUAGACAGCUAGGAGGUUGGCUUAGAAGCAGCCAUCCUUUAAAGAAAGCGUAAUAGCUCACUAGUCGAGUCGGCCUGCGCGGAAGAUGUAACGGGGCUCAAACCACACACCGAAGCUGCGGGUGUCACGUAAGUGACGCGGUAGAGGAGCGUUCUGUAAGCCUGUGAAGGUGAGUUGAGAAGCUUGCUGGAGGUAUCAGAAGUGCGAAUGCUGACAUGAGUAACGACAAUGGGUGUGAAAAACACCCACGCCGAAAGACCAAGGGUUCCUGCGCAACGUUAAUCGACGCAGGGUUAGUCGGUUCCUAAGGCGAGGCUGAAAAGCGUAGUCGAUGGGAAACAGGUUAAUAUUCCUGUACUUCUGGUUACUGCGAUGGAGGGACGGAGAAGGCUAGGCCAGCUUGGCGUUGGUUGUCCAAGUUUAAGGUGGUAGGCUGAAAUCUUAGGUAAAUCCGGGGUUUCAAGGCCGAGAGCUGAUGACGAGUCGUCUUUUAGAUGACGAAGUGGUUGAUGCCAUGCUUCCAAGAAAAGCUUCUAAGCUUCAGGUAACCAGGAACCGUACCCCAAACCGACACAGGUGGUCGGGUAGAGAAUACCAAGGCGCUUGAGAGAACUCGGGUGAAGGAACUAGGCAAAAUGGCACCGUAACUUCGGGAGAAGGUGCGCCGGCUAGGGUGAAGGAUUUACUCCGUAAGCUCUGGCUGGUCGAAGAUACCAGGCCGCUGCGACUGUUUAUUAAAAACACAGCACUCUGCAAACACGAAAGUGGACGUAUAGGGUGUGACGCCUGCCCGGUGCCGGAAGGUUAAUUGAUGGGGUUAGCGCAAGCGAAGCUCUUGAUCGAAGCCCCGGUAAACGGCGGCCGUAACUAUAACGGUCCUAAGGUAGCGAAAUUCCUUGUCGGGUAAGUUCCGACCUGCACGAAUGGCGUAACGAUGGCGGCGCUGUCUCCACCCGAGACUCAGUGAAAUUGAAAUCGCUGUGAAGAUGCAGUGUAUCCGCGGCUAGACGGAAAGACCCCGUGAACCUUUACUGUAGCUUUGCACUGGACUUUGAGCCUGCUUGUGUAGGAUAGGUGGGAGGCUUUGAAGCGUGGACGCCAGUUCGCGUGGAGCCAUCCUUGAAAUACCACCCUGGCAUGCUUGAGGUUCUAACUCUGGUCCGUGAUCCGGAUCGAGGACAGUGUAUGGUGGGCAGUUUGACUGGGGCGGUCUCCUCCUAAAGAGUAACGGAGGAGUACGAAGGUGCGCUCAGACCGGUCGGAAAUCGGUCGCAGAGUAUAAAGGCAAAAGCGCGCUUGACUGCGAGACAGACACGUCGAGCAGGUACGAAAGUAGGUCUUAGUGAUCCGGUGGUUCUGUAUGGAAGGGCCAUCGCUCAACGGAUAAAAGGUACUCCGGGGAUAACAGGCUGAUACCGCCCAAGAGUUCAUAUCGACGGCGGUGUUUGGCACCUCGAUGUCGGCUCAUCACAUCCUGGGGCUGAAGCCGGUCCCAAGGGUAUGGCUGUUCGCCAUUUAAAGUGGUACGCGAGCUGGGUUUAGAACGUCGUGAGACAGUUCGGUCCCUAUCUGCCGUGGACGUUUGAGAUUUGAGAGGGGCUGCUCCUAGUACGAGAGGACCGGAGUGGACGAACCUCUGGUGUUCCGGUUGUCACGCCAGUGGCAUUGCCGGGUAGCUAUGUUCGGAAAAGAUAACCGCUGAAAGCAUCUAAGCGGGAAACUUGCCUCAAGAUGAGAUCUCACUGGGAACUUGAUUCCCCUGAAGGGCCGUCGAAGACUACGACGUUGAUAGGCUGGGUGUGUAAGCGUUGUGAGGC